GCACUAUGAAAAAGAAGUCGGAUGCUUCCUAAUCUUAUAUAUUAUAUAGGAUAGGACCCGUUUUCCACUUAAGGCGUCAAUGCGUCUAAGACUUUAAUUAGAAUCUGAUUUUCGGCAUCAAAGAGCGCGUGGGGCUGGUGAGGGAAGGAUUGAAGGCUAGAUUUGACGGUAUGCCAGUUGAUUGAUUCAACUCAACUUUCAAGAUUGGGUGAGUGUACUUUAGUAAUAGUAUGAAGGAUCUAGUGGGCGUACUGUUUUACCUGUCCACUCAAGGAGUUGCAAUCAAAUGGUUUUUGAAAAUGGAAAUCGUGGUCAACAUUUUUCCAGUGCUUCAGCGGGGUUUUACCUUUAUUUGGUAUGCUGAAAAUCAUGUCGUACAGCCGCUGCGAAGCAGAAAUUUUAUUAGAUAAGAUAAAAGUUUUCUCGUUAUUCGUGGUGGGGUCGCGGACGAAUUGGGUUCGAUUCCCAUAGCCCCAAUGUGGUUCAAAGAGAGAUUUAAAGAGAUGUGCCAGAGUGGGCGUACUAUUUUACCUGUCCACUCAAGGAGUCGC
RNAcentral lists this long non-coding RNA (551 nucleotides) under Linum usitatissimum (flax). RNAcentral describes it as "long non-coding RNA (LUSI_LNC002683)". The record is from RNAcentral. Lineage: Eukaryota; Viridiplantae; Streptophyta; Magnoliopsida; Malpighiales; Linaceae.